Molecule: ribosomal RNA, 520 nt
Filed under: uncultured Glomus
Lineage: Eukaryota; Fungi; Glomeromycota; Glomeromycetes; Glomerales; Glomeraceae
Description: SSU rRNA
Rfam family: Eukaryotic small subunit ribosomal RNA
Source: RNAcentral
AGCAGCCGCGGUAAUUCCAGCUCCAAUAGCGUAUAUUAAAGUUGUUGCAGUUAAAAAGCUCGUAGUUGAAUUUCGGGAUUAAUAUGUUGGUCGUGCCUUGGUACGUACUGGCAUUAUUGAUUCCUACCUUCUGAAGAACCUCGAUGUCAUUAAUUUGGUGUCUUGGGGAAUCAGGACCGUUACUUUGAAAAAAUUAGAGUGUUUAAAGCAGGCUCGCGCUUGAAUACAUUAGCAUGGAAUAAUGAAAUAGGACGUUUGAUUCUAUUUUGUUGGUUUCUAGGAUCGACGUAAUGAUUAAUAGGGAUAGUUGGGGGCAUUAGUAUUCAAUUGUCAGAGGUGAAAUUCUUAGAUUUAUUGAAGACUGACUACUGCGAAAGCAUUUGCCAAGGAUGUUUUCAUUAAUCAAGAACGAAAGUUAGGGGAUCGAAGACGAUCAGAUACCGUCGUAGUCUUAACCAUAAACUAUGCCGACUAGGGAUCGGAUGAUGUUAAUUUUUUAAUGACUCAUUCGGCGCCUUAC